GGGAGGCAGCAGUGGGGAAUUUUCCGCAUUGGGCGAAAGCCUGACGGAGCAACGCCGCGUGAGGGAUGAAGGCCUCUGGGCUGUAAACCUCUUUUCUCAAGGAAGAAGAUCUGACGGUACUUGAGGAAUAAGCCACGGCUAAUUCCGUGCCAGCAGCCGCGGUAAUACGGGAGUGGCAAGCGUUAUCCGGAAUUAUUGGGCGUAAAGCGUCCGUAGGCGGCUUUUCAAGUCUGCUGUUAAAAAGUGGAGCUUAACUCCAUCAAGGCAGUGGAAACUGAUUGGCUUGAGUGUGGUAGGGGCAGAGGGAAUUCCCGGUGUAGCGGUGAAAUGCGUAGAUAUCGGGAAGAACACCAGUGGCGAAGGCGCUCUGCUGGGCCAUAACUGACGCUCAUGGACGAAAGCCAGGGGAGCGAAAGGGAUUAGAUACCCCUGUAGUCCUGGCCGUAAACGAUGAACACUAGGUGUCGGGGGAAUCGACCCCCUCGGUGUCGUAGCCAACGCGUUAAGUGUUCCGCCUGGGGAGUACGCACGCAAGUGUGAAACUCAAAGGAAUUGACGG
RNAcentral lists this ribosomal RNA (559 nucleotides) under uncultured bacterium. Its description in RNAcentral is "bacterial SSU rRNA". It matches the Rfam family "Bacterial small subunit ribosomal RNA", at positions 343 to 916 of the family's 1533-position model. The record is from RNAcentral.